RNAcentral lists this ribosomal RNA (301 nucleotides) under uncultured bacterium. RNAcentral's name for it is "partial 16S ribosomal RNA". It matches the Rfam family "Bacterial small subunit ribosomal RNA", at positions 509 to 807 of the family's 1533-position model. The record is from RNAcentral.
CAGCAGCCGCGGGAAUACAGAGGGUGCGAGCGUUAAUCGGAUUUACUGGGCGUAAAGCGUGCGUAGGCGGCUUCUUAAGUCGGAUGUGAAAUCCCUGAGCUUAACUUAGGAAUUGCAUUCGAUACUGGGAAGCUAGAGUAUGGGAGAGGAUGGUAGAAUUCCAGGUGUAGCGGUGAAAUGCGUAGAGAUCUGGAGGAAUACUGAUGGCGAAGGCAGCCAUCUGGCCUAAUACUGACGCUGAGGUACGAAAGCAUGGGGAGCAAACAGGAUUAGAUACCCCCGUAGUCCCUGUCUCUUAUAC